Molecule: long non-coding RNA, 619 nt
Organism: Dermacentor silvarum
Lineage: Eukaryota; Metazoa; Arthropoda; Arachnida; Ixodida; Ixodidae
Exons: 3
Source: RefSeq, a predicted model, not a curated record
AUAAUUACGUACGAGCGACUGCUUACAUUCCGUGUCACGAGAAGUUCAUGUUACCUGCGCUAAGGGCGAGCUUCGCUUCACUUUUGAACUCGUGACAUAUUUUCUCGCUUUUUAGCACUCUAUAUAUUAGUGUCGCUUUUAUGUGUUGUUUAUUGAUAUUCAUGGUGGUACCUGUUUCAUUUUCUAGGUGUGACGUAUGGCGGAAUUACGCCCAAAGAGCAGAUCUUGAGGGACUCGCACGGGAGCAAAUGUACAACGGCUACCGCCUCUGCUCGGACCACUUCGCUGAAAAUGCCUACGCCGACCCUGCCAAAACACGACUCCUGUGGACGGCUGUUCCCACUGCUGCAGUGGAAGUGGGGUCCCCGAUCGACGAGGGACCCUCCCGGGCAGAAGCCACAGAAGCCACGGCUGGUUCGGCUCAAGACCACCCUGCCGGCCAAAAGAGCGUCGUCCAGGUUGUAGAAGAUGGCCCCGAAACAGCCAGCACAGUCUCCCCUGGAUCGGCCUCUCAUGCAGAUAAUGGUAAGUGUAUGCUAGAAAUAAUGCUAAAUAUCAUUAAAUGCAUUUUUUUUUUGCAAAUAGCCAGCAUUCGUUAAGUUUUGCAACUUGUAUGCCU